This 253-nucleotide ribosomal RNA is filed under the name uncultured bacterium. RNAcentral's name for it is "partial 16S ribosomal RNA". It matches the Rfam family "Bacterial small subunit ribosomal RNA", at positions 524 to 776 of the family's 1533-position model. The record is from RNAcentral.
UACGGAGGAUGCAAGCGUUAUCCGGAAUUAUUGGGCGUAAAGCGUCCGCAGGUGGCUGUGUAAGUCUGCUGUUAAAGAGUGAGGCUCAACCUCAUAAAGGCAGUGGAAACUACAUGGCUAGAGUGCGUUCGGGGCAGAGGGAAUUCCUGGUGUAGCGGUGAAAUGCGUAGAGAUCAGGAAGAACACCAGUGGCGAAGGCGCUCUGCUAGGCCGUAACUGACACUGAGGGACGAAAGCUAGGGGAGCGAAUGGG